UACGUAGGGUGCAAGCGUUAAUCGGAAUUACUGGGCGUAAAGCGUGCGCAGGCGGUCUUGUAAGACAGAGGUGAAAUCCCCGGGCUCAACCUGGGAACUGCCUUUGUGACUGCAAGGCUGGAGUGCGGCAGAGGGGGAUGGAAUUCCGCGUGUAGCAGUGAAAUGCGUAGAUAUGCGGAGGAACACCGAUGGCGAAGGCAAUCCCCUGGACCUGUACUGACGCUCAUGCACGAAAGCGUGGGGAGCAAACAGG
RNAcentral lists this ribosomal RNA (253 nucleotides) under uncultured bacterium. RNAcentral describes it as "partial 16S ribosomal RNA". It matches the Rfam family "Bacterial small subunit ribosomal RNA", at positions 524 to 776 of the family's 1533-position model. The record is from RNAcentral.